Molecule: ribosomal RNA, 522 nt
Filed under: uncultured bacterium
Lineage: Bacteria
Description: bacterial SSU rRNA
Rfam family: Archaeal small subunit ribosomal RNA
Source: RNAcentral
AACCUCCGCAAUGUGAGAAAUCGCGACGGGGGGAUCCCAAGUGCCAUUCUUAACGGGAUGGCUUUUCAUUAGUGUAAAGAGCUUUUGGAAUAAGAGCUGGGCAAGACCGGUGCCAGCCGCCGCGGUAACACCGGCAGCUCUAGUGGUAGCAAUUUUUAUUGGGCCUAAAGCGUCCGUAGCCGGUUUAAUAAGUCUCUGGUGAAAUCCUGCAGCUUAACUGCGGGAAUUGCUGGAGAUACUAUUAGACUUGAGAUCGGGAGAGGUUAGAGGUACUCCCAGGGUAGAGGUGAAAUUCUGUAAUCCUGGGAGGACCGCCUGUUGCGAAGGCGUCUAACUGGAACGAUUCUGACGGUGAGGGACGAAAGUUAGGGGCGCGAACCGGGAUUAGAUACCCGGGUAGUCCUAACUGUAAACGAUGCGGACUUGGUGUUGGGGUGGCUUUGAGCUGCUCCAGUGCCGAAGGGAAGCUGUUAAGUCCGCCGCCUGGGAAGUACGGUCGCAAGACUGAAACUUAAAGGAAUU